Molecule: long non-coding RNA, 864 nt
Organism: Salvia splendens (bonfire salvia)
Lineage: Eukaryota; Viridiplantae; Streptophyta; Magnoliopsida; Lamiales; Lamiaceae
Exons: 3
Source: RefSeq, a predicted model, not a curated record
GGCAGAGAGCAGACAUAAAAAGUGGGUCCGGGCCCACAACCGUGCUCGCUGGCAAGAGCACGGUUGUGGAUGCUCUAAUAUAUAAAUGUCUAACAAUGGAUAAGAUUAGGGGUGGGGAAUUAUACCGAAAUACUAGAAUACCAGAUUUACUGUAAUGAAAAAAUAUCGAAAAUAUCAAUUUUUCAGUAUACCGUAGUUUUUGGUACGGUAACGGUAUUAGAUUUCCUACACGGUAUGGUAACGGUAUAAAAAACUACCUUACCGAAAGAAAAGAAUAUAUCGAAUUUCAGUAUACCAAAAAAAUUCGGUACGGUAUCGGUAUAGUAUUUUGUUAUACCGUAACUUUCAGUACGGUAUACGGUAUGACACUCACGGUACGGUAUAACGUACCGAACCAACCCUAGAUAAGAUAAGAUUGUUAAUUUUGUCCCCCCGUAGUUUGUUUGACCGCAGGACUAAAACCCCUUCUCAAAAUAAUCAUCGGAGUUGGAGGUGUAUCACCACUCUACUUUAUUACCAUCUACAACUGGGACACUUAUAUAGUGGAUGACCCUACGUACCUUGUGGUACCUGCCAUCAUUACUGCGGUCAUCAUCUGGGCACCAAGGAUAAUCAGUUGUCCUUUCGUAUUCUGGUUUUUGAUCUACAAAUUUCGGAGAAGGCGUUUGUCCUCAUUCGAGGGAGUAGAGUCAUUCCUACAAAGUGACAACAAACUCGUACCAAUAAGGUAUUCCUAGUCGGACAUAAAGAAGAUGACUAAGAGCAUCCGCAAUGGGCGGACGAUGGCACGCCCGAUGGCGCGCAUCGUCCGCACCCAUUGCGGGUGCGUGCCAUAGGGCGCGGACGAUAGUCGCUACCUAUACU